This 253-nucleotide ribosomal RNA is filed under the name uncultured bacterium. Its description in RNAcentral is "partial 16S ribosomal RNA". It matches the Rfam family "Bacterial small subunit ribosomal RNA", at positions 524 to 776 of the family's 1533-position model. The record is from RNAcentral.
UACGUAGGUGACAAGCGUUGUCCGGAUUUACUGGGCGUAAAGCGCGUGUAGGCGGUUGCCCAAGUCGGGUGUGAAAGCCUUGAGCUCAACUCAAGAAAUGCACUCGGUACUGGGUGACUAGAGGACCGGAGAGGAUAGUGGAAUUCCCAGUGUAGUGGUGAAAUACGUAGAGAUUGGGAAGAACACCAGUGGCGAAGGCGGCUAUCUGGACGGUUUCUGACGCUAAGACGCGAAAGCGUGGGGAGCAAACAGG